Molecule: ribosomal RNA, 492 nt
Filed under: uncultured bacterium
Lineage: Bacteria
Description: partial 16S ribosomal RNA
Rfam family: Bacterial small subunit ribosomal RNA
Source: RNAcentral
AGUGAGCGCUGGCGGUAGGCCUAACACAUGCAAGUCGAACGGCAGCACAGUAAGAGCUUGCUCUUACGGGUGGCGAGUGGCGGACGGGUGAGGAAUACAUCGGAAUCUACUUUUUCGUGGGGGAUAACGUAGGGAAACUUACGCUAAUACCGCAUACGACCUACGGGUGAAAGCAGGGGAUCUUCGGACCUUGCGCGAUUGAAUGAGCCGAUGUCGGAUUAGCUAGUUGGCGGGGUAAAGGCCCACCAAGGCGACGAUCCGUAGCUGGUCUGAGAGGAUGACCAGCCACACUGGAACUGAGACACGGUCCAGACUCCUACGGGAGGCAGCAGUGGGGAAUAUUGGACAAUGGGCGCAAGCCUGAUCCAGCCAUACCGCGUGGGUGAAGAAGGCCUUCGGGUUGUAAAGCCCUUUUGUUGGGAAAGAAAAGCAGCAGGUUAAUACCCCGCUGUUCUGACGGUACCCAAAGAAUAAGCACCGGCUAACUUCGUG